Molecule: transfer RNA, 64 nt
Filed under: Ctenophora environmental sample
Lineage: Eukaryota; Metazoa; Ctenophora
Source: RNAcentral
ACACUUACGCUCUUCGCGCAUUCCGAGACGCAGGGUUCCAGGCCCUUGACAUCUUCCACGCCGC